Molecule: long non-coding RNA, 233 nt
Filed under: Monodelphis domestica (gray short-tailed opossum)
Lineage: Eukaryota; Metazoa; Chordata; Mammalia; Didelphimorphia; Didelphidae
Description: lncRNA (ENSMODG00000042103.1)
Source: RNAcentral
UAGGACCAAAGUGGUUAAAGAUAUCAGGGAGUCAGGGUGACUGGGUCCUGGUUCUUCUCCUGCUCCUAAUUAUAACUGUAUGACCUUGGCCAGAUGGUUGGUGUUAUAGAGAAGGCUCAAACCUGCUGGGGAAUACUAACUCUGAGGGGGUAAAAUAUCUGAACCUGGCCUGGGGUUGACUGAUGCUUUCUCUGGACUCUGACGUUUCUAGAAGCCUAGUGCAGACAAGGUGA